This 213-nucleotide ribosomal RNA is filed under the name uncultured bacterium. RNAcentral describes it as "partial 16S ribosomal RNA". It matches the Rfam family "Bacterial small subunit ribosomal RNA", at positions 524 to 733 of the family's 1533-position model. The record is from RNAcentral.
UACGGAGGGUGCGAGCGUUGUUCGGAAUUACUGGGCGUAAAGCGCGUGUAGGCGGCCUUCUAAGUCUGGUGUGAAAGCCCGGGGCUCAACCCCGGAAGUGCAUUGGAUACUGGGAGGCUGGAGUACCGGAGAGGAGGGUGGAAUUCCUGGUGUAGCGGUGAAAUGCGUAGGAUAUCAGGAGGAACACCGGUGGCGAAAGGCGGCCCUCGUGGA